CCUACGGGGGGCAGCAGUGGGGAAUAUUGCACAAUGGGGGAAACCCUGAUGCAGCGACGCCGCGUGGGCGAGGAAGUACCUCGGUAUGUAAAGCCCUAUCAGCAGGGAAGAAACAGGACAGUACCUGACUAAGAAGCCCCGGCUAACUACGUGCCAGCAGCCGCGGUAAUACGUAGGGGGCAAGCGUUAUCCGGAUUCACUGGGCGUAAAGGGAGCGCAGGCGGCAUGGCAAGUCUGAUGUGAAAACCCGGGGCCCAACCCCGGGAGUGCAUUGGAAACUGCCAGGCUGGAGUGUCGGAGGGGUA
This 305-nucleotide ribosomal RNA is filed under the name uncultured bacterium. RNAcentral describes it as "bacterial SSU rRNA". It matches the Rfam family "Bacterial small subunit ribosomal RNA", at positions 338 to 659 of the family's 1533-position model. The record is from RNAcentral.